GGAUUAGAUACCCUGGUAGUCCACGCUGUAAACGAUGAGUACUAGCUGUUGGAUCUGGUGUAAAAGAUUUAGUGGCGCAGCUAACGCGUUAAGUACUCCGCCUGGGGACUACGGCCGCAAGGUUAAAACUCAAAGGAAUUGACGGGGACCCGCACAAGCGGUGGAGCAUGUGGUUUAAUUCGAUGCAACGCGAAGAACCUUACCUGCCCUUGACAUCCACAGAACUUUCCAGAGAUGGAUAGGUGCCUUCGGGAACUGUGAGACAGGUGCUGCAUGGCUGUCGUCAGCUCGUGCCG
This 296-nucleotide ribosomal RNA is filed under the name uncultured bacterium. RNAcentral's name for it is "partial 16S ribosomal RNA". It matches the Rfam family "Bacterial small subunit ribosomal RNA", at positions 775 to 1067 of the family's 1533-position model. The record is from RNAcentral.